This 413-nucleotide non-coding RNA is filed under the name Polyschismium alpestroides. Lineage: Eukaryota; Evosea; Eumycetozoa; Physariida; Didymiaceae. The record is from RNAcentral.
UAUCAAAUAGCUCCAGGGGAGGCGGGAGUCGCGCGCCAGACAUCACAUGCAAACCCUCCCCUACACACACCUUGAUGCUGGGAAGUCCUUAGAGCCAGGUCUGCCAAAGCCGCUUUCCGAAAGGGAGAGGCUGGAGCUGUGUUGCACAGCGGGGGAUAAUGACCUGGAUUGGAUGAUCAGCAGGGUAACCACCUAACCCCGGGGAAAAAAGGCCUGCCUUCUGGGCAGGUGCUGUGCCUCGGGUAGCGGUGGGCUCUCAACGACUGAACGGGUGUGGGUGGUGAACAUGGCUUUGAAAGCCUUGGGAUCUGCUUAAGAUACAGUCUACUCCCUGGUGAAAGCCAGUGCUCCCUUAAGCAAGGAGCAGCCCCACAAUCCCGGCCGGAAACGGCCGGGGGAGGGUGGUAUUCAGG